Molecule: ribosomal RNA, 377 nt
Filed under: uncultured bacterium
Lineage: Bacteria
Description: bacterial SSU rRNA
Rfam family: Bacterial small subunit ribosomal RNA
Source: RNAcentral
UAAUACGGAGGGGGCAAGCGUUAUUCGGAAUCAUUGGGCGUAAAGGGCGCGUAGGCGGCUUGGCAAGUCAAAGGUGAAAUCCCUCGGCCUAACCGAGGAACUGCCUUUGAAACUGCUUGGCUUGAGGCCGGGAGAGGGUAGCGGAAUUCCCAGUGUAGCGGUGAAAUGCGUAGAUAUUGGGAGGAACACCAGUGGCGAAGGCGGCUACCUGGACCGGUUCUGACGCUGAGGCGCGAAAGCGUGGGGAGCAAACAGGAUUAGAUACCCUGGUAGUCCACGCCGUAAACGAUGGGUACUCGGUGUCGCGGGUAUCGACCCCUGCGGUGCCUUAGCUAACGCGUUAAGUACCCCGCCUGGGGAGUACGGUCGCAAGGCUG